RNAcentral lists this ribosomal RNA (155 nucleotides) under Pterula sp. 984. RNAcentral describes it as "5.8S ribosomal RNA". It matches the Rfam family "5.8S ribosomal RNA". Rfam says of the family: 5.8S ribosomal RNA (5.8S rRNA) is a component of the large subunit of the eukaryotic ribosome. Lineage: Eukaryota; Fungi; Basidiomycota; Agaricomycetes; Agaricales; Pterulaceae. The record is from RNAcentral.
AACUUUCAACAACGGAUCUCUUGGCUCUCGCAUCGAUGAAGAACGCAGCGAAAUGCGAUAAGUAAUGUGAAUUGCAGAUUUCAGUGAAUCAUCGAAUCUUUGAACGCACCUUGCGCUCUUUGGUAUUCCAUAGAGCAUGCCUGUUUGAGUGUCAU